GGGAAAAGCCAGCGCUGAAUCUAAUACCCACGGAUAUUACGACAUGUGGCGUUGGGAUAAGACAUUGCCUGCAAGUAAUGAUCAUCCAAGUCCCUCUUGAACGGGGCCAUAGCCCAUGGAGGGUGCUAGCGCCGUACGAUGAUUUUGUGCGUCUUAUCCGUAGAGUCGGGUGCUUGGGAGUGCAGCCCAAAUCCGGUGGUAACUCCAUCUAAGGCUAAAUAUGACCACGAGACCGAUAGCGAACAAGUACCGUGAGGGAAAGUGAAAAGAACUGAAGAGAGAGUUCAAUAGUACGUGAAACCUCUCGGGGGUAAGCGGGCAGAAUCUACAAGUAUUGAGAUUCAGGCUUAGUUUGAUGGCUGAGAGAAGCUGAUCAUUGUGUGCUUUCUUGAUAAUGCGCCGCAUUUCUCCUUAUCGGGUUGCAUGCAACUGAUAGGUGUUGAAUUACUGUAAAUCCUUGUUAAGUUUUUUUUCCAAAUACUUUUGCGGUGAACAGGCGUUCGCGGUCAAACAUUUUGACGAGUCGUGUACAUGUUUUGUGUGGACGGGUAACCGUAUGAUUGUCGGUUGGCUCUGUUCAUUGCAAUCUAAAGCAUGUGUGAUCUGCCUGUCCCGUCUUGAAACACGGACCAAGGAGUCUAACAUGUACGCGAGUGAUUGAGAACUCGCGUAAUGAAAGUGAGAUGAGGAGAGAUCUGCGCACCUC
This 706-nucleotide ribosomal RNA is filed under the name Sminthurinus granulosus. RNAcentral's name for it is "eukaryotic LSU rRNA". It matches the Rfam family "Eukaryotic large subunit ribosomal RNA", at positions 100 to 761 of the family's 3401-position model. Lineage: Eukaryota; Metazoa; Arthropoda; Collembola; Symphypleona; Katiannidae. The record is from RNAcentral.